Molecule: ribosomal RNA, 372 nt
Filed under: Stenepteryx hirundinis
Lineage: Eukaryota; Metazoa; Arthropoda; Insecta; Diptera; Hippoboscidae
Description: partial 16S ribosomal RNA
Source: RNAcentral
GCAUAAUCAUUAGUUUUUUAAUUGAAGGCUGGAAUGAAUGGUUGGACGAGAUAAUGACUGUUUCAUAUAAAUUUAAAUUAGAAAUUUAUUUUUUAGUUAAAAAGCUAAAAUUUAAUUAAAAGACGAGAAGACCCUAUAAAUCUUUAUAUUAAGUUAAUGUUUAUUAUUAAGAAAUUUAUAUUAUUCAUUAAUAGUAAUAUUUUAUUGGGGUGAUAUUAAAAUUUAAUAAACUUUUAAUUAUUUAUUACAUUAAUUUAUGGUUAAUUGAUCCAAUAAUAUUGAUUAAUAGAAUAAGUUACUUUAGGGAUAACAGCGUAAUUUUUUUGAAGAGUUCAUAUCGAUAAAAAAGAUUGCGACCUCGAUGUUGGAUUA